UCUAUGUCCUUUGCCUUUGUAAGACUAAAGGCUGAUCUCAUCGGACUGUGUAGCUCACAAAGGGUGGGGAAUAAAUGCAAGACUCCCGGACAGCUUCUCAUCUUUUUGGGCGAAAAGGAUUUAAGAUAGGCUUUACCAAAGACGGAGAGACUUUUGAACCUCAAGGAAGAAAAUGAGGACUUCUACAUGAAGUAAAGUAGCAGUGAUAAAGGCAAUUAAGAAUCUUCAAUGAACAUAACAUGCAGGUUUUUGGGAUCUGGGAGGAAACUGGAAAACCAAGCACAGGCAGAACAUACAAAUUCAAACCCAGAACUUGUGACUGUGAGGCAGAUGACUAGACUGGAAG
This is a long non-coding RNA of Phyllopteryx taeniolatus (common seadragon), 346 nucleotides long. RefSeq lists it as uncharacterized. The record is from RefSeq and is a predicted model, not a curated record. NCBI's taxonomy places the organism in Eukaryota, Metazoa, Chordata, Actinopteri, Syngnathiformes, Syngnathidae. The transcript has 3 exons.